This is a non-coding RNA of Podarcis lilfordi (Lilford's wall lizard), 75 nucleotides long. The record is from the annotation of a GenBank genome assembly. NCBI's taxonomy places the organism in Eukaryota, Metazoa, Chordata, Lepidosauria, Squamata, Lacertidae.
GGAAGGGUUGUAGCUCAGCGGUAGAGCAUCUGCUUUGCAUACAGGUGGUCUUGGGUUCAAUCCCGGGCAUUUCCA